UACGUAGGGUGCAAGCGUUGUCCGGAAUUAUUGGGCGUAAAGAGCUCGUAGGCGGUCUGUCGCGUCGGCUGUGAAAACCCGGGGCUCAACCCCGGGCCUGCAGUCGAUACGGGCAGACUAGAGUGCGGUAGGGGAGACUGGAAUUCCUGGUGUAGCGGUGAAAUGCGCAGAUAUCAGGAGGAACACCGGUGGCGAAGGCGGGUCUCUGGGCCGUAACUGACGCUGAGGAGCGAAAGCGUGGGAGCGAACAGG
Molecule: ribosomal RNA, 252 nt
Filed under: uncultured bacterium
Lineage: Bacteria
Description: partial 16S ribosomal RNA
Rfam family: Bacterial small subunit ribosomal RNA
Source: RNAcentral